This 857-nucleotide ribosomal RNA is filed under the name Lysinibacillus sphaericus. RNAcentral's name for it is "bacterial SSU rRNA". It matches the Rfam family "Bacterial small subunit ribosomal RNA", at positions 59 to 896 of the family's 1533-position model. Lineage: Bacteria; Bacillati; Bacillota; Bacilli; Caryophanales; Bacillaceae. The record is from RNAcentral.
AAGUCGAGCGAACAGAGAAGGAGCUUGCUCCUUUGACGUUAGCCCCUUACGGGUGAGUAACACGUGGGCAACCUACCUUAUAGUUUGGGAUAACUCCGGGAAACCGGGGCUAAUACCGAAUAAUCUGUUUCACCUCAUGGUGAAAUAUUGAAAGACGGUUUCGGCUGUCGCUAUAGGAUGGGCCCGCGGCGCAUUAGCUAGUUGGUGAGGUAACGGCUCACCAAGGCGACGAUGCGUAGCCGACCUGAGAGGGUGAUCGGCCACACUGGGACUGAGACACGGCCCAGACUCCUACGGGAGGCAGCAGUAGGGAAUCUUCCACAAUGGGCGAAAGCCUGAUGGAGCAACGCCGCGUGAGUGAAGAAGGAUUUCGGUUCGUAAAACUCUGUUGUAAGGGAAGAACAAGUACAGUAGUAACUGGCUGUACCUUGACGGUACCUUAUUAGAAAGCCACGGCUAACUACGUGCCAGCAGCCGCGGUAAUACGUAGGUGGCAAGCGUUGUCCGGAAUUAUUGGGCGUAAAGCGCGCGCAGGUGGUUUCUUAAGUCUGAUGUGAAAGCCCACGGCUCAACCGUGGAGGGUCAUUGGAAACUGGGAGACUUGAGUGCAGAAGAGGAUAGUGGAAUUCCAAGUGUAGCGGUGAAAUGCGUAGAGAUUUGGAGGAACACCAGUGGCGAAGGCGACUAUCUGGUCUGUAACUGACACUGAGGCGCGAAAGCGUGGGGAGCAAACAGGAUUAGAUACCCUGGUAGUCCACGCCGUANACGAUGAGUGCUAAGUGUUAGGGGGUUUCCGCCCCUUAGUGCUGCAGCUAACGCAUUAAGCACUCCGCCUGGGGAGUACGGUCGCAAGACUG